This is a non-coding RNA of Macaca mulatta (Rhesus monkey), 365 nucleotides long. The record is from RefSeq and is a predicted model, not a curated record. Lineage: Eukaryota; Metazoa; Chordata; Mammalia; Primates; Cercopithecidae.
AAGGGCUAAGUCAUAAAAAGUAAUAAAGCUUUGGUCUCUCUCUUGCUCUCUCUCAACAUGUCUUAGGAGCUGAGUCACCAAGUUGAAAGUUCACCUACUCUGAAGAAACCAUGCUAGAGAAACCAUGUGGUGAUCCCACGUAUUGAAAGAGAUACCAGAGGAGCUCCAGAGGUUCCAGCUCCCAGUUUUUUGAGUUAUCCUAGGCUGGGUACCUGAUGUGUGAAACUUCCCUUCCUUGGCUUUCAAGACCUGCCAUCCUGAUCCUCUGAUAGCUCCUUCCCAGUCCACCCAGGCGUGAUAAGCAGACCUCAGGUGGUAAGACACGUUGUUGAUAAUUAAAUAAACCCUCGAAAGUAAUCCAGAAA